UUACAGACUGCAGUCUGCCCCACGAAGUGGGGGCUAGAUGAUGACUGGCAGUAGCCACUGUGACAAGGUGGGAAUAGGGGCUUGAGAGUUUCCCUGGAAG
Chelonoidis abingdonii (Abingdon island giant tortoise) is the source of this 100-nucleotide non-coding RNA. Lineage: Eukaryota; Metazoa; Chordata; Testudines; Testudinidae. The record is from RefSeq and is a predicted model, not a curated record.